This 210-nucleotide long non-coding RNA is filed under the name Setaria viridis. Its description in RNAcentral is "long non-coding RNA (SVIR_LNC009405)". The record is from RNAcentral. Lineage: Eukaryota; Viridiplantae; Streptophyta; Magnoliopsida; Poales; Poaceae.
GGGGAUCUUGUCAUCUCAAACGGUAUAUGAUAUUAUUGCAGAGUGUUCCUUAAUUUAGUUUAUAUCUUUACUAUGUCACUAUGAUCAUUUAGUUUGCACGUGAUUAAUUAUUCCAUGCACUUAAUCACCAAGGUUCCUAUAUUAAAUUAAUAAAUUAUAUGUCUUCAUGAAUUGUAGGAAAGCGUGGAUAGCUAAAAUAUUUAGAUUAUG